RNAcentral lists this long non-coding RNA (2014 nucleotides) under Olea europaea (common olive). RNAcentral's name for it is "long non-coding RNA (OEUR_LNC005902)". Lineage: Eukaryota; Viridiplantae; Streptophyta; Magnoliopsida; Lamiales; Oleaceae. The record is from RNAcentral.
ACAAGUUCGGCUCGACUUGUCUCCAAUGAUAAGGAAUUCAUGAGCUAGGGCUCGUCUUGAGCAAUUGCGAUGAUGUUUCAAAGAUGCGAGGUCUUAGAACUUGCCUCGAGUAAUAGAGAUGAUAGUCAAAUGUGCCUUAAAUAAGAGAAAUCCCAUGUCGAUAUAUUUUUGAACACUUGGUGUGCUUAUGACCUUUGUAUAAGUUGUUGUUGAUGUUUAUUUGUAGCCUUCAAGUUAUUUGAAACAAUUGUGGCAACUCAGGUAGAAGGAAAAGAAUCCAGAAGAUGUGCCGAACUUGAAGAAAAUAACUCACCAAAUAUUGUCCCAUGUAAAGAAAAGCAGAUUUAGGCCCAAUCAAAGCCCAGUAGUAGCAAUUGUACCAUGGAAAAUAAAUCUAGGAGUUAGUUUAGAAUAAUAUCCAAUAUACCCAAUUAAAUCAGUUGACUCAAAUAAAAGUAGCAGGCCCAAUCAAUGAAAUAAUAAAUAGUAAUCCACCAAAAAGCUUAUAGAUAGAAGCUAAAAUAUCUGACAAGAACCCAAAGCGAACAGCCUACUUUCAGAAAAGUUCAUAGAUUUAGGUGAGAAUAUAUGUUGUACCAACCCAAGAAAAAGAACCAAGAAAUUGACGUAUCUAGUUGAGCCUAAUCUUUAAGACAAAAGGAGGCUAUGAGGCCCAAUAAAAUAAAUUUGCUGGUCCAAUCAAGUUCAAAAAUUUAAGCCCAUUAAAUCUCUGUAGACCAUAAAUUAGUUGGGACAGAUGUGCUAAAAAGGUCCAUUUAAAAGAAUAAGGUUUUGGUCACUUUAAAUCAAAAGAUUAACAUGGGCCCAAUUUUACAUAAACAGUUGCCCAAUCUACUAAGCCCAUCAACUAGCAAUUAAUUCUUCCAAGAGGCCCAAUAACUAACCAAUAUAUAAUCAUUAUGUCUUCCACAACCUGUUAAUUGACAAGUACCAAUUAGGCCGAAAAGUCAGUUUCUCUUUCCCACAAAGUAGCUGGCGUGAACCAUUUGCAAAGUAAUCAUCAUCAGACUUGUCUCCAUCACCAUUAAUGUGCACACAACUAGACUCGAGCUCUAGCCAAGGACCUUGCUGUGAAGAUUUUCCGGUGGGUUGCGGGUGGCAGCUACUUAAAUAAUGGUGGUCGUCGGAGGUCAUGGAGGUUUCAAUAAUAGUUGAGACAGUAGACAAAAGUCGAAGCUGGACAUUCUCGUCCUUGGUGAUGCCGGUGGUUACCUCCAAAGUGGUCACCGGAGCUUGCAACAUUAAUUGGAACAAGCUGUACUUAUCUUUUCAUUUUUCAGUUACUUUUCAUUUGCACUGGAGCUCCCAUCUUUUCCUGUAACCAAAUAUUUGAAAGAAGUAAAAUGGCAGGUAAAACCAUUAUCAUUGAGAGUCAGUUGUUGCAAGAGAGGUUUUUUUAAUUCAAAUUUGGAGAGAAAUAAUGGCUUCCCUUUUUCCUUGGAUUUAUGCUUGGAGAUGCUAUCAAAUAUUUUUAAUUUUAUCAACACAAAUGGCUGCCUUCUUCCCCUGCAUUCUUGUGGUUGAAUUCUUCAAUUUGAUGUUGAAAAUUUCCUUUCAAGAUCUGCCUUCAUUUUUCCCAUGAGUAGAUUCUUGUGUUGCCCCUUUCUUUCCAACAAGUUACUCGUCUUCUUUUUGUAUGGCUGGCUCUAUCGUUUUGGUAGAGGAAACUACCCAGAAAAUCCCAUCCCGUCUGGUUGCUGUCUUUUAUCUUUUGGUAGAACAUUGUCGCUCGGAAAUUUUUCAAUUUUCGGUGACCUUUAGGUAUGUGGUAUAACAUGGUUAACAUAGCGUUUCCCACAGACGGCGCCAAUCUGUUGACCUCCAAAAAUGGCUCCAACAGGUUCCCUAGCCUCGAGUCCUCGAUACCUGCGCAAGUAGCACCCCGUCAAGAGGCAAAGGCGGCCGAACAAGAAAAAUGUCCGGCAACCGUUUGCACUCCGACGGUCCAGUCAACGGCCGGACGGAAAUAAAUAUAUAGAGUGCAAUAAUAUGG